This 253-nucleotide ribosomal RNA is filed under the name uncultured bacterium. RNAcentral describes it as "partial 16S ribosomal RNA". It matches the Rfam family "Bacterial small subunit ribosomal RNA", at positions 524 to 776 of the family's 1533-position model. The record is from RNAcentral.
UACGCAGGGGGCUAGCGUUGCUCGGAAUCACUGGGCGUAAAGCGCACGUAGGCGGCUUCUUAAGUCAGGGGUGAAAUCCUGGAGCUCAACUCCAGAACUGCCUUUGAUACUGAGGAGCUUGAGUCCGGGAGAGGUGAGUGGAACUGCGAGUGUAGAGGUGAAAUUCGUAGAUAUUCGCAAGAACACCAGUGGCGAAGGCGGCUCACUGGCCCGGUACUGACGCUGAGGUGCGAAAGCGUGGGGAGCAAACAGG